UUAUUAAUAUCAAAUAUCACCAUAGAGAGUUUUAUUAUAUGUAUUUAUAGAAGUACAUAUAAUAAAACAUGCAAUUUAAUGUUGGAUCUAACAGUUGACAUGUCUCCUCGCCUCAUCCGUAAGGUCGAGAGUUUGAGUUUAUGGAUAUGGUCGUGGAAGUAGACGUGUAGUGUUUGUUGGCAUAACCUUCAGAAUCAUAAAGUCUCACUAAAUUUCUAAUGAUAAUAUUACAAUAUAAUCAUAUUGUAAUAUUUAAAAGAAAAUAAUAAUAAUAAUAAUAAUAGCAUAGAAAAUGGCAUAAGUUAGUUGUAAAUUGCUACUUCGAUUGAAUUUUUUUUUUCUUCUCCCCGUUGUAUUGCAAGUAACAAACUCUACUACUAAGGACCACUGUCAUGUCAUGCUUUAUGCAUGAAUACAUUUCUCACAUUUUCGCAACGACUCAUGAAAUCUAAAUUGUGUAAACUAGCAGUGAAUAAACAAUCUACAUGAUAUAUUUAUAAAAUUGCAGUUCUAGAAAGACAAGUACUAAAUUUUUCAUCAAAAUAAUAUAAAAUUAUCCACAAGAACCUCAUUAGCUCAAUCUAAGUAUUUUCUGUUAAAUAGUACUAUUGUUAUAUUUUUGUUUGAGAUAUUAGAGAAAACUAAGGAAUAAUUAGAAGUUAAUAGUGCAACAAUUUGGAAUUUUGGCCUUUGAUUAAGGAAAUAGAAAAGUAUUUCAGAAGUGCUUGUAGCCCUUUACAGGUUUUUUUCUUCUGUGGAGAUUAAAAAAAAGAUAAAUAAAUAAAUCAAAUGAAAAAUAUAUAAACUACAGGUGAAAUGUUGUUAGGAAAUUUUGCAGUUUUUUUGGGAAUACAUAAAAAUAACCAAAAAGAUGAACAGAAAACAAGGAGAGAGCACCAAUCAGAAAUAAGAAAGAAGGCAUGCAGACUUGAACAGAAGACAAGUAGAGAACACCAAUCAGAAAUAAGAAAGAAGGCAUGCAGACUUGAAUUACGUGGCCAACACUCAUUAUAUAAUAGACCAGCUGUGAAAGUGAUAAACCCAAUUGCCUCUUUGGUGGGUUCGGAGUGGCAGUGGCUUGGUGGGUACUGUGUACAUGAGUUGAUUAUUGGGUUUACAUGAAGUUGAUUUAAUCCAAAUUAAAAAAAAGAGAGUAGAACUUUUAAUACUUGUCUAAAAUAUUUAUAACACUCAUU
RNAcentral lists this long non-coding RNA (1196 nucleotides) under Citrus x clementina. RNAcentral's name for it is "Citrus clementina (C. clementina) long non-coding RNA (CCLE_LNC001073)". The record is from RNAcentral. Lineage: Eukaryota; Viridiplantae; Streptophyta; Magnoliopsida; Sapindales; Rutaceae.